Molecule: ribosomal RNA, 254 nt
Filed under: uncultured bacterium
Lineage: Bacteria
Description: partial 16S ribosomal RNA
Rfam family: Bacterial small subunit ribosomal RNA
Source: RNAcentral
UACGUAGGGUGCGAGCGUUAAUCGGAAUUACUGGGCGUAAAGCGUGCGUAGGCGGUCACAUAAGCUUGAUGUGAAAGCCCCGGGCUCAACCAGGGAAUGGCAUUGAGGACUGUGUGGCUUGAGUGCGGCAGAGGGAGGUGGAAUUCCACGUGUAGCAGUGAAAUGCGUAGAGAUGUGGAGGAACACCGAUGGCGAAGGCAGCCUCCUGGGCCGACACUGACGCUGAGGGCACGAAAGCGUGGGGAGCAAACAGG